This is a non-coding RNA of Trichomalopsis sarcophagae, 47 nucleotides long. Lineage: Eukaryota; Metazoa; Arthropoda; Insecta; Hymenoptera; Pteromalidae. The record is from Rfam.
UAAAAGGUUGUUCUUACAACUACCCAACGGAAUGUAAUAUAAAACUU